CUCUGAGUGGCACUAACAGUUAAGCACUUGGCUACUAACCAAAAGUUUGGUGGUUCAAAUCCACCCAGAGG
RNAcentral lists this transfer RNA (71 nucleotides) under Loxodonta africana (African savanna elephant). It matches the Rfam family "tRNA". From Rfam's summary of the family: Transfer RNA (tRNA) molecules are approximately 80 nucleotides in length. The record is from Rfam by way of RNAcentral. Lineage: Eukaryota; Metazoa; Chordata; Mammalia; Proboscidea; Elephantidae.